Pelobates cultripes (western spadefoot toad) is the source of this 219-nucleotide non-coding RNA. The record is from the annotation of a GenBank genome assembly. Lineage: Eukaryota; Metazoa; Chordata; Amphibia; Anura; Pelobatidae.
CCAGUUAUCAUGCAAAUAGUUAGGAAUUUAAGGAAAAAGGAUUACAUCUUAUUCAUUCUGUAUUGGUGCUGCAAUGGAGGCAGUAUCACAAGGUUUGUCGAAUGAGUUAACUAAACAGGUUGGGCGAUGGUCAUCAAAUAGAUACAAAAGUUAUGUAAGGCCUUAGUGUUUUGUUAAUAUGAUUACUUACUGUUUCUGUUUUCAGUUAAAAGACCAAUU